AGAGUUUGAUCCUGGCUCAGGACGAACGCUGGCGGCGUGCUUAACACAUGCAAGUCGAGCGAGAAAGGGUCCUUCGGGACCCCGGUAAAGCGGCGAACGGGUGAGUAACACGUGGGCAACCUGCCCCAAGGACUGGGAUAACUCCGGGAAACCGGAGCUAAUACCGGACGUGCUUGCACUACUCAAGUGGUGCAAGUAAAGGUAGCUUCGGCCUCCGCCUUGGGAUGGGCCCGCGGCCUAUCAGCUUGUUGGUGAGGUAACGGCUCACCAAGGCUACGACGGGUAGCUGGUCUGAGAGGACGAUCAGCCACACUGGGACUGAGACACGGCCCAGACUCCUACGGGAGGCAGCAGUGGGGAAUCUUGCGCAAUGGGCGAAAGCCUGACGCAGCAACGCCGCGUGGAGGAAGAAGGCCUUAGGGUUGUAAACUCCUGUCAGGGGAGAAGAAGGCACCUGGGUUAAUAGCCCAAGGGCUGACGGUACCCCCAGAGGAAGCCACGGCUAACUACGUGCCAGCAGCCGCGGUAAUACGUAGGUGGCGAGCGUUGUCCGGAAUCAUUGGGCGUAAAGCGCGCGUAGGCGGCUUGUCAGGUCUGAUGUGAAAUCUUGGGGCUUAACUCCAAGCGUGCAUCGGAAACCGGCUAGCUAGAGUCUGGGAGAGGAGAGUGGAAUUCCUGGUGUAGCGGUGAAAUGCGUAGAUAUCAGGAGGAACACCAGUAGCGAAGGCGGCUCUCUGGAACAGUACUGACGCUGAGGCGCGAAAGCUAGGGGAGCAAACAGGAUUAGAUACCCUGGUAGUCC
This 802-nucleotide ribosomal RNA is filed under the name uncultured bacterium. RNAcentral describes it as "bacterial SSU rRNA". It matches the Rfam family "Bacterial small subunit ribosomal RNA", at positions 8 to 796 of the family's 1533-position model. The record is from RNAcentral.